GCGGGGAUCGUACGGUAGGGACGGAGGAGCGCGCUUUCCGGUUAGGCGGCGCCAUUUUGUGCUCAGAGACGCUACAGCCGCCGCCGGUGAGACGGGGUGUCGGUGCCGGAGACUCUGGCAGGGUCGGGCGACUCGGGCCCUGGCUCGGGCGCUUCGGAGACCGGGACGCGGCAGCUCGGCAACUUCCCGGCGGAGCUGAACAAGCGGAACCUGUACACUGGCAGCAACAAGAGCGUCCUGAUGGAGCGGCUCAAGGUUGUCGGGGCCAAGGUGGUAACCAACGCCCGCAGUCCUGGGGCUCGGUGCUAUGGGUUUGUCACCAUGUCCACAUCUGAUGAGGCUACCAAGUGCAUCAGCCAUCUGCACAGAACUGAGCUGCAUGGAAGAAUGAUCUCCGUAGAGAAGAGCCAGCAGUAUAUGAUAACCUGUUGAAAAGCAGCUAGCGUGAGUCAAGAGCCCUGGAGAGCAGCUGCAUACACUUCAUGCUGACACAUGUGCCACCUCAAGUAAAUCCGCCACUACCUACGUGGGAGGAAUCACCAUGCUCAUUUCACAGCUGGAAACACAGGCUUAGCAUGAAGUAGUGACAAGUUAUAAUCCCAGCUCUGAUUCUAGAGCCUGGGCUUAACCACUGGGACACAUGUCUCCAUUAAAACCCAGAAAACUAGUCUCAUUUUGCUGCAUGGAAUGUAAGAUUUACCUCCAGAAGCAGGGAAAAAGGAAUCACGUGAGAGGCAUGAAAUUCCUCCCGAGGCAGAACAGCAUCCCCAAGACAGAGGGCAGGAACCUGGUACCCCCAGCCGCAUCCCAUAAUCGAGGGAGGAGGGCGAGAUUGAAGAGUGAAGCUUCUGCUAGAGUUGAGGAAAAGCUAACAGGGAAGAGACAUCAACUGUGCCACAACAACGGCCUCCCCACAGCCUUCCCUGCUGUCCCCAUGUUUUCACGUAAACCCACUAAAGAUCUGAGACUCACUCUGGGAAAUCCUCAGUCUACAUGUAAGAGACAGAAGACGAGAAUAAAACUGAGCUUAUUCUUCUCAUGUGCUAAUCCUGCAAUGAGAAUGA
Long non-coding RNA from Lemur catta (Ring-tailed lemur), 1064 nucleotides. RefSeq lists it as uncharacterized. The transcript has 3 exons. NCBI's taxonomy places the organism in Eukaryota, Metazoa, Chordata, Mammalia, Primates, Lemuridae. The record is from RefSeq and is a predicted model, not a curated record.